AGAUUGAACUGAAGAGUUUGAUCCUGGCUCAGAUUGAACGCUGGCGGCAUGCUUUACACAUGCAAGUCGAACGGCAGCGCGGGGCAACCUGGCGGCGAGUGGCGAACGGGUGAGUAAUAUAUCGGAACGUACCCAGAAGUGGGGGAUAACGUAGCGAAAGUUACGCUAAUACCGCAUACGAUCUACGGAUGAAAGUGGGGGACCUUCGGGCCUCAUGCUUGUGGAGCGGCCGAUAUCUGAUUAGCUAGUUGGUAGGGUAAAGGCCUACCAAGGCGACGAUCAGUAGCUGGUCUGAGAGGACGACCAGCCACACUGGGACUGAGACACGGCCCAGACUCCUACGGGAGGCAGCAGUGGGGAAUUUUGGACAAUGGGCGCAAGCCUGAUCCAGCAAUGCCGCGUGAGUGAAGAAGGCCUUCGGGUUGUAAAGCUCUUUUGUCAGGGAAGAAACGGCUGAGGCUAAUACCUUUGGCUAAUGACGGUACCUGAAGAAUAAGCACCGGCUAACUACGUGCCAGCAGCCGCGGUAAUACGUAGGGGGCAAGCGUUAAUCGGAAUUACUGGGCGUAAAGCGUGCGCAGGCGGUUUUGUAAGUCUGACGUGAAAGCCCCGGGCUCAACCUGGGAAUUGCGUUGGAGACUGCAAGGCUUGAAUCUGGCAGAGGGGGGUAGAAUUCCACGUGUAGCAGUGAAAUGCGUAGAGAUGUGGAGGAACACCGAUGGCG
This 724-nucleotide ribosomal RNA is filed under the name Massilia consociata. RNAcentral's name for it is "bacterial SSU rRNA". It matches the Rfam family "Bacterial small subunit ribosomal RNA", at positions 1 to 717 of the family's 1533-position model. The record is from RNAcentral. Lineage: Bacteria; Pseudomonadati; Pseudomonadota; Betaproteobacteria; Burkholderiales; Oxalobacteraceae.